RNAcentral lists this ribosomal RNA (396 nucleotides) under uncultured bacterium. RNAcentral describes it as "bacterial SSU rRNA". It matches the Rfam family "Bacterial small subunit ribosomal RNA", at positions 474 to 879 of the family's 1533-position model. The record is from RNAcentral.
GGUACCAUUCAAGAAAGCCACGGCUAACUACGUGCCAGCAGCCGCGGUAAUACGUAGGUGGCGAGCGUUAUCCGGAUUUAUUGGGCGUAAAGGGUGCGCAGACGGUUUAUUAAGUCUAAAAUCAAAUCUUGGGGCUCAACCCCAUUCCGUUUUAGAAACUGGUAGACUUGAGUAUGGUAGAGGCAAAUGGAAUUCCUAGUGUAGCGGUGGAAUGCGUAGAUAUUAGGAGGAACACCAGUGGCGAAGGCGAUUUGCUGGGCCAUUACUGACGUUCAGGCACGAAAGCGUGGGGAGCAAAUAGGAUUAGAUACCCUAGUAGUCCACGCCGUAAACGAUGAGUACUAAGUGUCGGGUUACCGGUGCUGAAGUUAACACAUUAAGUACUCCGCCUGAGUA